RNAcentral lists this ribosomal RNA (468 nucleotides) under uncultured bacterium. RNAcentral describes it as "partial 16S ribosomal RNA". It matches the Rfam family "Bacterial small subunit ribosomal RNA", at positions 28 to 507 of the family's 1533-position model. The record is from RNAcentral.
GAUGAACGCUGGCGGCGUGCUUAACACAUGCAAGUCGAACGGAAAGGCCCUGCUUUUGUGGGGUGCCCGAGUGGCGAACGGGUGAGUAACACGUGAGUAACCUGCCCUUGACUUUGGGAUAACUUCAGGAAACUGGGGCUAAUACCGGAUAGGAGCUCCUGCUGCAUGGUGGGGGUUGGAAAGUUUCGGCGGUUGGGGAUGGACUCGCGGCUUAUCAGCUUGUUGGUGGGGUAGUGGCUUACCAAGGCUUUGACGGGUAGCCGGCCUGAGAGGGUGACCGGCCACAUUGGGACUGAGAUACGGCCCAGACGCCUACGGGGGGCAGCAGGGGGGAAUAUGGCACAAUGGGCGGAAGCCUGAUGCAGCAACGCCGCGUGCGGGAUGACGGCCUUCGGGUUGUAAACCGCUUUCGCCUGUGACGAAGCGUGAGUGACGGUAAUGAGUAAAGAAGCACCGGCUAACUACGUG